GCUUCCUUAGCGCAGCCGGCAGCGCGUUAGUCUCAUAAUCUGAAGGUCGCCAGUUCGAACCUGGCAGGGAGCA
This 73-nucleotide transfer RNA is filed under the name Entomophthora muscae. RNAcentral describes it as "tRNA-Met". It matches the Rfam family "tRNA". From Rfam's summary of the family: Transfer RNA (tRNA) molecules are approximately 80 nucleotides in length. Their secondary structure includes four short double-helical elements and three loops (D, anti-codon, and T loops). Lineage: Eukaryota; Fungi; Entomophthoromycota; Entomophthoromycetes; Entomophthorales; Entomophthoraceae. The record is from RNAcentral.